RNAcentral lists this ribosomal RNA (465 nucleotides) under uncultured bacterium. RNAcentral describes it as "partial 16S ribosomal RNA". It matches the Rfam family "Bacterial small subunit ribosomal RNA", at positions 338 to 795 of the family's 1533-position model. The record is from RNAcentral.
CCUACGGGAGGCAGCAGUAGGGAAUCUUCCACAAUGGGCGAAAGCCUGAUGGAGCAACGCCGCGUGGGUGAAGAAGGUCUUCGGAUCGUAAAACCCUGUUGUUAGAGAAGAAAGUGCGUGAGAGUAACUGUUAACGUUUCGACGGUAUCUAACCAGAAAGCCACGGCUAACUACGUGCCAGCAGCCGCGGUAAUACGUAGGUGGCAAGCGUUAUCCGGAUUUAUUGGGCGUAAAGGGAACGCAGGCGGUCUUUUAAGUAUGAUGUGAAAGCCUUCGGCUUAACCGGAGUAGUGCAUUGGAAACUGGGAGACUUGAGUGCAGAAGAGGAGAGUGGAACUCCAUGUGUAGCGGUGAAAUGCGUAGAUAUAUGGAAGAACACCAGUGGCGAAAGCGGCUCUCUGGUCUGUAACUGACGCUGAGGUUCGAAAGCGUGGGUAGCAAACAGGAUUAGAUACCCCAGUAGUC